This is a non-coding RNA of Bemisia tabaci, 663 nucleotides long. Lineage: Eukaryota; Metazoa; Arthropoda; Insecta; Hemiptera; Aleyrodidae. The record is from RefSeq and is a predicted model, not a curated record.
UCCAGUUUACUGCCGCGAAUCAUCGCAUCCUCCUUUUAAACUUGUUUAACUGUCUCUUGACCUUUUUUAGAGGAUAGAAACUACGAAGUCUACGAUCCAUUCAGCACAGAUCUGUUGUGGCGAGUAAGAGCGGGCGAUCGAGGUGACAGCCAAUACGCGAAAAAUCUGGCGACUUACAUUUUCACGAAUGAAGUUCUGGCACAAUCGUCUAUCACAGGGCAGCCGUAUCGUAACAAGAAAGGAGCCGUUGCUAAACCUGCAUUGGAUGGACAUAAACUGGAAUACUUGAGACAAAUUUUCAUCCUCCGCCUUAAAGAAGAGUUCAAGGGGAAAAAUGACAUCAAGUUCCAGGCAGCCAUAGAGAAACGUGCAAAUCGGAAAGUAUUGGAGAACUACAUCCGGGAGAAGAUCUGCACUCUUGGUCGCUUAUUUCAUACUGCUUAGGUCUGCCCCCCCCCCUUCCUCCCAAUCAGGAGAUUCUGGUCUUCUUCUCCCACUAGAUUUUUGUUUGUUUGUACAAAUUAAGCUUCUUUAGAUACCUCCACUGUUGUGCUCAUCGUUUUAUUACAGCUCGGAGCCCAUGGGCUGACGAAUUUUUGUCUAGAAGAGGUAAUAAGAAAAUGGGAGGAAAAUUAUUUUGACAAGUAAAACUUUUUGAAACGA